UGCGUUUUCAGAUUCAUCACUCGACAACUUCCUGUUUACCGAACACUUGUAUUAUUUUACACAUGAUAACCAAGUUGAAAAUUUUUGUCACAUUUUUCUCAGGAACUACAAUACAAGGAUUUCUGAAAUUUGGUUUCAGGGUUUAUAUAAGUCUGCAAUACUGUGUGAUGCGUUUUCAGAUUCAUCACUCGACAACUUCCUGUUUACCGAACACUUGUAUGAUUUUACAUAUGAUAGCCAAGUUGAAAAUUUUCGUCACAUUUUUCUCAGGAAUUACUAUACAAGGAUUUCUGAAAUUUGGUUUCAGGAUUUAUACAAGUCAGCUUAUACCGUGUAAUGCGUUUUCAGAUUCAUCACUCAACAACUUCCUGUUUACCGAACACUUGCAUAUUUUUACACUAUUAAAAUUAUCCACUUGCGGCGGGGGUAUCAUCAGUGAGCAGUAGCUCGC
This 451-nucleotide long non-coding RNA is filed under the name Mytilus galloprovincialis (Mediterranean mussel). Lineage: Eukaryota; Metazoa; Mollusca; Bivalvia; Mytilida; Mytilidae. The record is from RNAcentral.